Molecule: transfer RNA, 72 nt
Filed under: Candidatus Pacearchaeota archaeon CG_4_10_14_0_2_um_filter_05_32_18
Lineage: Archaea; Nanobdellati
Description: tRNA-Gly
Rfam family: tRNA
About the family: Transfer RNA (tRNA) molecules are approximately 80 nucleotides in length.
Source: RNAcentral
GCGCGGAUGGUUUAAUGGUUAGAAUAUCUCGUUGCCAACGAGGUGAUCCGGGUCCGAUUCCCGGUCCGCGCA